This 76-nucleotide transfer RNA is filed under the name Paraglaciecola aquimarina. RNAcentral describes it as "tRNA-Trp". It matches the Rfam family "tRNA". From Rfam's summary of the family: Transfer RNA (tRNA) molecules are approximately 80 nucleotides in length. Their secondary structure includes four short double-helical elements and three loops (D, anti-codon, and T loops). Further hydrogen bonds mediate the characteristic L-shaped molecular structure. tRNAs have two regions of fundamental functional importance: the anti-codon, which is responsible for specific mRNA codon recognition, and the 3' end, to which the tRNAs corresponding amino acid is attached (by aminoacyl-tRNA synthetases). tRNAs cope with the degeneracy of the genetic code in two manners: having more than one tRNA (with a specific anti-codon) for a particular amino acid; and 'wobble' base-pairing, i.e. permitting non-standard base-pairing at the 3rd anti-codon position. Lineage: Bacteria; Pseudomonadati; Pseudomonadota; Gammaproteobacteria; Alteromonadales; Alteromonadaceae. The record is from RNAcentral.
AGGGGUGUAGUUCCAAUUGGUAGAACGGCGGUCUCCAAAACCGACGGUUGGGGUUCGAAUCCCUCCACCCCUGCCA